CGUCUCACGAGCCUUCGGGUUUGGUAUCUUAAACCUCAUGGUAACCGCAUUCACAUCAUAUACCUCCACUUUUGAUGAUAGUUCACCAUAGCUCCAAAUCUUAUUAACCACCAUAUGCACCUUAGCAAUGUGAGGAGCAAUGUCUAAGAACUUCCCUACCACAAAAUCCUCCCACAAUGGCGUAGAAUCAAUGAUGAUUUCAUCAGGGAUCUCCACCUUAUGCUUACCAUCCUUAGUUUUUACCUCCACUUCAUACUUCUUCAAACAUCGCCUAUCCUGAGCCUUCAAUGCCUAAAUUUGAUCUAACGUCUUCAAUACCUCAUCUCUCAACUGCUUUACCUCCCUUAGAUCUCCAUCCCGAACCUCCGUAAUCUUCAAAUCCCCAUCCCGAACCUCCGUAAUCUUCAAAUCCCCACCACAACUCUCCUUGCUGAUCAGAUCAAAAGCUCCAGAAAGAUUCCCCUCCUUCGAAUCACCUUCACGGAUCUUCUUAUUCUUUGAAACAGAAUCCCCACGUUGCUUUCCUUCACUCAAGUCAUCUUCCCGGACAUACCGACAGUCGCGAUCCCUCUCCGGCGGAACUGACGAGCCCCGCGAAGAAGCCGCCUCCAUCAGAAAAACCCCAAGUCAAAAUAUCGCACUCAGAAUCGCCAAAAUCGCCUCAGAGCAAAACGCAGCGUUUUGUCAAGGUGCUAGUAUUUCUCAAUGAUCCUACCUGAGGUUUCACAGGUUGCGCUUCUUGCCAUACGAGAUUCUCUUACAUUGAGAAUUUGUUGCUUGUUCUAGAAUAGUUUUGAUUCCCUGAUGCGAUGCCAGUGACUGACAAAUGGUAUUAUUUGAGCAUUGACCAUAUGUUAGUCAACAUAUUAAAAUGCUAGUCAACAGAUUAUGUGCUAUCCAUGUUUUUUUUUGUCACGAUGAUGUAUAUAUGUAUAAUAAUAAAACAGGGGUUUCUCUCAUUAGCCUUCCACGUCCCUCCUUAGGGGUGGACAUUUGAUGACAUGUGUCGCCAUUUAAUUGGUUGCGUUUUUUUUAAAUGACCCAAACCCAAUCAAUAAGGCUUACCAAUCCAUUGGGUUCCGUUCUCUUCCUAUGGUUACUAACGAAACAGAGUAUCCGUCGUGACGAUUGAUUCAGAUUGCACAUUCUCUUUACACAGGGCUAUGUAACGCCUGAGCUAAUAAUUAAUUCACCACAUUGAAGAACACAUUUACUUGAUUUAUAUAACUCUUUCCGCUAUCUCACGCGUUCAAUCAUCUUCCCACUCCUCGAAGGCACCAAAGAAAGAAAAUGUUCCACUACCAUUCUCUAAACCCCGCCAGAUCCGGAGGUGGAAUGCAGAAGAAGUGAAGCAAAGGAAAGCUAAAGUAGAAGAAGAUGAACAACAUGGUUCAAUUCGAUCAGGCAACUAACAACAAGCUUCGGUCUGAAUCUCCUGUUCAAGUUGGUAAAUCAGGCUGUAUCCUUUUCAACAUCAUCUGAUCCAUCAGCUGCCUCAAUUAGAGGACCCUUCAAACCAAUUUCAUUGGUCUCAUCUAUUAUUCAGUUGCGAAUUCGCAAAGGAUGUGUGGUUCGCGUUAUUCUCUCACCCUACUCUUUAAUCUCCUUCAUCACCAUUUUUCUACUGCUACAACUAACUCAUUCCUGUCAGGCUGGUUCAAAUACUUCUAGUAUUGAGCCAUCGUUUUCUGAGUUUGAUUUUUCAAUCAUCACAAAGCAUUUCGCUUCUCUUGGGUUCUGUCAGAAAGCAUCUCUCGGUGUUAUUCUCAAAUUGUUUGGCUUCACAUGUAUGGCUCUGUUUUUUCUGAACUGUUUUUUUUGUCAAUUUUUCUGUACUGUUUUACAAAUGUUUCUUUUUUGGAAGUGGAAGAAAAAAAUGUAUAAAAUGAAUGUUAAAAUAACUGCCAAAAUAGUAACAACAUUGAAAUAAUAUCACUCUACUACCUCAAUUAUUUGUUUAUGUCCACUAUAUCAAACAAAUAAGCAUUUGUGUUAUGCACAUUCCUAUCAGACGUUAUAGAUAUAAACUCAUCAUCUAGCUUCUCUAAAACUAGCACCUCCAAUCAGGCAUCAGCUAUUCACAUUUAACAAAGAAAAAGGAAGUCAACAUCGAAAGCACCUACAAUAAUAUAGUUCCAAAUUAAACAAUCUUAUAUCAUGACAAAUGUUCUUUAUUUAAUAACAUAAAUGGCAAAUAAUACUCCAAAGAGUUCACGAAAAAUGCAAGGACUUAUUCUUACGUUACUCUUUUUGGAAACUCUUACGUCACCUUUCAUUAGUGAGUGUUAAAAUGCUACGGAUCCAUUGAAUGAUAUUUAUUCCGCGAGUUUAAACCAUUUUUUUAUUUUGAUGAUGUUUUUUUUUCUCAAUACAGGUUUUCACUUUAAUAAAUUCGUCAUUUUCAUACUAUGUUUUCUUCCAUUUUUUCAAAUAUAUUAUUCAACGCUUUUUAUUAGUGUCCUCUCCAAGAUAAUCUCAUUUUUGAUAUUUGUUAAAAUUUAAAAUCUAAGGUUUAAAAUGUUUUUAUAUGUUAAGUCCUAAAUUUAACUCUUAAUGUUUUAUAUUUCUAUUAUAAUCCUUAUUAUUGAUCAAAUUUAAUAAAAUUAUAUAUUUAUAAAUAAUAAAAUAUACAUUAAAAUGUAUUACAGAAAAUAUUUGCAUUACAUCAUAAUAAUAAAAAUCUGAAAAGGCAAACUAUAUGAUAAUUUUUACAUGUUAAAAAUUAAAAUGAUAUGUGAACAAGAUAAACACAAGCAUUUACUUUUUUUCCUUCUCGAACAUCAACUUUACUUUAUGUUUAAAUUUUAACAAAAUUAUUUUUGUUUCAUCUAUUAAACUAUUCUAUUUUUACUGAAUCGAUCAGUCACAACCACUUAUGCUAUUUCAAUUUGAUCCGAACAAUUUCAAAACAAAAAAAUACACUACGGAAAAAAUUAUUCUCUUUCGACAUAUUUUUUUUACUACAACCUAAAAUUAAUCGUAAAUUUAUUUAAGAAUAAAAUAUAAAACCACUAGUAAAUAGAUAUUUUAUUCCUUAUAGUCAAAGUUUCAGUAGUGGUGUUGGGCU
This is a long non-coding RNA of Brassica napus (rape), 3067 nucleotides long. RefSeq lists it as uncharacterized. The record is from RefSeq and is a predicted model, not a curated record. Lineage: Eukaryota; Viridiplantae; Streptophyta; Magnoliopsida; Brassicales; Brassicaceae. The transcript is spliced from 3 exons.